Artibeus jamaicensis (Jamaican fruit-eating bat) is the source of this 219-nucleotide small nucleolar RNA. RefSeq annotates it as small nucleolar RNA U3. The transcript has a single exon. Lineage: Eukaryota; Metazoa; Chordata; Mammalia; Chiroptera; Phyllostomidae. The record is from RefSeq and is a predicted model, not a curated record.
UAGAAAAUACUAUUCUUUCAGUAAUAAUUUCUAUAGUUCGUUACUAGAGAAGUGUCUCCGAACAUUUAGAGCACCUGAAACUACAGAGAGGAGAUGCAAUGUUUUCUCCUGAGGGGGAAGCUGGCUUUUGGUGUUGCUUUUGUGACUGGUAAUAUUUCUUGAUGAUUGUUCUUCUCUUCCUUUGGAAGAGGAAGAGGGAGCGAACACAGUCUGAAUGGU